UAACGAAUCUUCCCCAAUGCACGAAAGUGUGAGGGAGCGACGCCGCGUGGAGGAUGAAGUCCUUCGGGAUGUAAACUCCUGUCAGGGGUUAGAAAGUUCUGAUCAACCCCAGAGGAAGUGGCGGCUAACUCUGUGCCAGCAGCCGCGGUAAGACAGAGGCCACAAGCGUUAGGCGGAAUCACUGGGCUUAAAGCGUGUGUAGGCGGACCGGUAAGUGCUUGGUGAAAUCCCCCGGCUCAACCGGGGAAUGGCGGGGCAUACUGGCGGUCUUGAGCUGGCUAGGGGUCACUGGAACAAACGGUGGAGCGGUGAAAUGCGUAGAUAUCGGGUGGAACGCCCAAGGUGAAAACAGGUGACUGGGGGCAAGCUGACGAUGAGACACGAAAGCCAGGGGAGCAAACG
This 402-nucleotide ribosomal RNA is filed under the name uncultured prokaryote. RNAcentral describes it as "bacterial SSU rRNA". It matches the Rfam family "Bacterial small subunit ribosomal RNA", at positions 355 to 774 of the family's 1533-position model. The record is from RNAcentral.